UACGUAGGGUGCAAGCGUUGUCCGGAUUUACUGGGCGUAAAGAGCGUGUAGGCGGCCAAACAGGUCCGUUGUGAAAACUGGAGGCUCAACCUCCAGACGUCGACGGAAACCGUAUGGCUAGAGUCCGGAAGAGGAGAGUGGAAUUCCUGGUGUAGCGGUGAAAUGCGCAGAUAUCAGGAAGAACACCAAUGGCGAAGGCAGCUCUCUGGGACGGUACUGACGCUGAGACGCGAAAGCGUGGGGAGCGAACAGG
RNAcentral lists this ribosomal RNA (253 nucleotides) under uncultured bacterium. RNAcentral describes it as "partial 16S ribosomal RNA". It matches the Rfam family "Bacterial small subunit ribosomal RNA", at positions 524 to 776 of the family's 1533-position model. The record is from RNAcentral.